This 506-nucleotide ribosomal RNA is filed under the name Staphylococcus aureus. RNAcentral describes it as "partial 23S ribosomal RNA". It matches the Rfam family "Bacterial large subunit ribosomal RNA", at positions 477 to 985 of the family's 2925-position model. The record is from RNAcentral. Lineage: Bacteria; Bacillati; Bacillota; Bacilli; Caryophanales; Staphylococcaceae.
CUAGUGACCGAUAGUGAACCAGUACCGUGAGGGAAAGGUGAAAAGCACCCCGGAAGGGGAGUGAAAUAGAACCUGAAACCGUGUGCUUACAAGUAGUCAGAGCCCGUUAAUGGGUGAUGGCGUGCCUUUUGUAGAAUGAACCGGCGAGUUACGAUUUGAUGCAAGGUUAAGCAGUAAAUGUGGAGCCGUAGCGAAAGCGAGUCUGAAUAGGGCGUUUAGUAUUUGGUCGUAGACCCGAAACCAGGUGAUCUACCCUUGGUCAGGUUGAAGUUCAGGUAACACUGAAUGGAGGACCGAACCGACUUACGUUGAAAAGUGAGCGGAUGAACUGAGGGUAGCGGAGAAAUUCCAAUCGAACCUGGAGAUAGCUGGUUCUCUCCGAAAUAGCUUUAGGGCUAGCCUCAAGUGAUGAUUAUUGGAGGUAGAGCACUGUUUGGACGAGGGGCCCCUCUCGGGUUACCGAAUUCAGACAAACUCCGAAUGCCAAUUAAUUUAACUUGGGAGUC